CUUUUCUUUUUUUUUUUUUUUUUUUUUGGCUUUUAGGGCUGCACCUGCAGCUUGUGGAAGUUCCCAGGCUAGGAGUCAAAUUGGAGCUGUAGCUGCCGGCCUACACCACACAGCCACAGCAAUGCCGGAUCCAAGCCACAUCUGCAACCUACACCGCGGCUCAUGGCAGUGCUGGAUCCUUAACCAACUGAGCAAAGCCAGGGAUUGAACCUGCAUCCUCAUGGAUACUAGUUGGGUUUGUUACUGCUGAGCCACGAUGGGAACCCCCUCUUGUGUAUUUUCUUUGUCAAACUUUGUUUUUAACAUUUGACUGCUUUAUAAAAAAAUUGGGAAGAUUUGUUUUUCUGAGUUUUGGAACAGAUUAAAUUGCAUAAGUAUUCUUUCAUUCAGUUAUCAAAUACAUAUGUGUGCCAGUCAUUGGACUGAUGCUGGGUAAUCAGAGGUAAACAAAACAGACGUGCUUCCUGUCCUCAUAGGGCUUGGUUUUUUAGGAAGUGGAUAUUACUGAGGUAAUUAUAAAUAUGUUAUUAUAAACCAAGGUCAAUACUGCAAGAGAAAAGAACAGAGUGCUUUGAGAGACUAUCAUUGAAGAUCUACUUUGACUGUACUUUUUAUUAUUUAUUUGGGUAAAUAAUCAAAUAUUGAUUUGGAUGUGUAAUUAGGUCUUUGGCAAGUACAUACGUAAAUAAAAUGAAGUCUUCCUGAUUACAGAAGCAAAAAUGAAAAAUAAUGGUAAUAGUUGCCACCAUGUUAGAUGGUACGUUCUGCAUUUUUGAUCGAAGAAAUCAAGGCUUAAGUUAGGUAGACACUUGCAGUUGCGUUUGUGACAUGCCCUUUCUACACCUUCUGGAAAUGCCAUCAAGAUGUUAGUGAAAGAGCAGAGAUACAAAUCCACAAAGAUCCAGAACGCGAGAGAGGCGAAACCCGCAUUUGGGAAACUAGGAGAAGGUGGUCAGGAGCUAACGGCUUCUCCAGAUCAGAGAGUGCGGAAGGCCGUGCGCCCCCAAGAGAAGCGAGCCGGCCCCACAGCACCUGGAAGAGGCUCAGGAUUUGGCGGUGCCGAGUACUUCUCAAGGCAGGACCGCAGAUGGAGUAGAACAGCGGGUCAGCUGAUGGCUUGUAUCACUUUGAUAACCUGUAUCCCUCUCACUCCGUGCACCUGUACCCUGGCAGAAGGCCCAAGGUCUACACUUCGGAGACGUGAGCUAGGCGGGCUCUUGCCAGCUGCGCUAGGGGUGAAGCGCUGAAUGCCAGCCAGUACGGGCUCAGCGAACGCCGGCACACUCCACAGUGAAAGCAGAGCUGUCCUCCUCUGCGUGGCUCCCCAAACCAGUAGUCAAGCUUACGAGGCUCCCCCAAACAAGAUAUGAAAGGACUCUCUCCUGGGGAAACUUCCAACCCGUGACAAACUAUUUAGCAGAUAAGGACUUCUCAAGGGGAAUUAUUCGGAAAGCAGGAACAGGCUAGAUAAUAAAGCUGAAGAACUCUCCUAAAAAAUAGAAUAGCCAUACAAAAAAAAGAAUAGCCACAAUAAUUAGAAAAUAAGAGUGAGAGGGUAAGAAACAAAGGACCAGUCAAGAAGGUUCUUCAUCUAAUCCUGUGGUAGGACGUUAUCUGUGUCCCAGAACUGAAGGAGGAGAGUAUCUGGGUCGAAAGUCUAGUUGGAGCCCUGAACAUGAAAAGGGGAGCACAGAACAACCGGCAGCCGGAGUGUGCAGUUCCAACAGGAACAAGACUAGAUUCGUUCUUAAUCUUUCUACUUUUAAAAGGAAGAGCUGGGAGUUCCCGUCGUGGCUCAGUGGAAACAAAUCUGACUGGUAUCCAUGAGGACUCAGGUUCGAUCCCUGGCCUCAGUCAGUAGGUUAAGGAUGCAGUAUUGCUGUGAGCUGUGGUGGAAGUCACAGACAUGGCUUGGAUCCUGCAUUGCUAUGACUGUGGUGUAGACUGGCAGCUACAGUUUUGAUUUGACCUCUAUUCUGGGAACUUCUAGAAGCCACAGGUGCGGCCCUAAAAACCAAAUAAAGAAGAAUUGGGGGGAGAGUGAAGCUUUCAAACUACAUUUUGGAAAAUUUUAGGAGAAAAGACCCCUUAUCUCCUGUAGGUGCUAUUGGGAAGCCGUGAUGGGAAGUUCCAGCAGUUAUGAGAGAAAGGCAGAGCUGUGUGGAAGAGGCGCAGCUCAGAAAUCUCCAGCAGCUGGUCUGUCCCCGAAACUGAGAGCCCCGCCGUAGGUGAGCUUGCAGUACAGGGCUGAGAUGGAACUGCUUUGCAGUACCCAUUAAGAAAAGCAGAACGGGGUUGGAAGGUGCCUGGGCAGGCCAGAGAUCUAGCAAGUGCUCAUAAAAUACUCCUAGAAGUGAGUGUGUGGCCUUUGGAAAGGAAGGAUUGUGUCUCCUUGGUGGCAGGAUUCUACAGGAGGAAACCAGAGCUGAAAGUAAAGACCCUCCUGAACCUGAUUACACUUGCAGGUUAGAAGAGGAGUGGCAGGAAGUCCCUGUUGUGGCUCAGCGGUUAUGAGCCCAACUAGUAUCCCCAAGGAUGCAGGUUCGGUCCCCGGCCUCGCUCAGUGGGUUAAGGAUCUGGCGUUUCUGUGAGCUGUGGUGUAGCCAUUUUGAGUUUAUUGUGGUGCGUGGUGUGAGGGUGUGUUCUAGUUUCAUUGAUUUGCUUGCAGCUGUCCAAGUUUCCCAGCAAUACUUGCUGAAAAGACUUUUUCCCAUUUUAUGUUCUUCCCUUGUCAAAGAUUAAUUGACCAUAGGUGUCUGGGUUUAUUUCUGGGGUUCUCUAUUCUGUUCCAUUGGUCUGUCUGUUUGGUACCAGUACCACACUGUCUUGAUGACUGUGGCUUUGUCAUAUUGUCUGAGGUCUGGGAGAGUGAUGCCUCCUGCUUGGUUUUUGUUCCUCAGGAUUGCUUUGGCAAUUCUGGGUCUUUUGUGAUUCCAUAUAAAUUUUUGGAUUGUUUGUUCUAGCUCUGUGAAAAAUGUCAUGGGUCAUUUGAUAGAGAUUGCAUUGAAUCUGUAGAUUGCUUUGGGUAGUAUGGUCAUUUUUACAAUAUUAAUUUUUCCAACCCAGGAGCAUGGAAUAUCUUUCCAUUUCUUUACAUCCUCUUUAAUUUCCUUGAUUAAUGUUUUAUAGUUCUCAGCAUGUGAAGUCUUUCACCUCCUUGGUCAGGUGUAUUCCCAGGUAUUUGGUUUUUUGGGGGACCAUCUUAUUUUUAAAAGCCAUCCUUGGAUGCAGGAGCAGAGAAGGGAACCCUUAAGCCUGAAAACUGCUCUGUGGUAUCCCUACACUGGGCUUAAACACAUCUUUAGCCCCUAAGGCUCAAUAAGAUGAAGGCAGGUAAGCUUCUGGUGUGGCAUGGCAAGAUCAGUGGUGGAACAGUUUCAGGGUGCUGGGGCACAGGUUCGAUGCCUAGCCUGGCACAAGCGUUGCCACAGCUGUGGCAUAGGUCGAAACUGCAACUGAGAUCUGACCCCUAGCCUGGGAAAGCCAUAUGCCGCUGGGCUG
This 3501-nucleotide long non-coding RNA is filed under the name Sus scrofa (pig). RNAcentral's name for it is "lncRNA (ENSSSCG00000061707.1)". The record is from RNAcentral. Lineage: Eukaryota; Metazoa; Chordata; Mammalia; Artiodactyla; Suidae.